Camellia sinensis is the source of this 182-nucleotide non-coding RNA. The record is from RefSeq and is a predicted model, not a curated record. Lineage: Eukaryota; Viridiplantae; Streptophyta; Magnoliopsida; Ericales; Theaceae.
CCAAGUUCUGCAUGUACAACUGGCGAUUGGACAGCUUUUCUGAAGAGCAUCUGUUCACUCCCACAUGUGAACAAGAUAUUUGAAGUUGGCAUUUCUGGAAGUCUUCGAGAGCAAAUGAAAUAUUUGAAUUUGGACAUUGUUCAAAAGGCUGGAUCAUGCAUUUUGACAGACUUGGCUUAUGU